RNAcentral lists this ribosomal RNA (256 nucleotides) under uncultured bacterium. RNAcentral describes it as "partial 16S ribosomal RNA". It matches the Rfam family "Bacterial small subunit ribosomal RNA", at positions 521 to 776 of the family's 1533-position model. The record is from RNAcentral.
UAAUACGGAGGGUGCGAGCGUUAUUCGGAAUUACUGGGCGUAAAGCGCGUGUAGGCGGGGAUGCAAGUCUGAUGUGAAAGCCCUGGGCUUAACCUGGGAAGUGCAUUGGAAACUGCAUUUCUUGAGUACUGGAGAGGAAGGGGGAAUUCCCGGUGUAGAGGUGAAAUUCGUAGAGAUCGGGAGGAAUACCAGUGGCGUAGGCGCCCUUCUGGACGGUAACUGACGCUGAGACGCGAAAGCGUGGGGAGCAAACAGG